UCAGUUGACAGACAGCCGAAACGAGGGCACAAAAAAGCCGGGGGGGGGGGGGGGGGGGAGUGAAUGAAUGUGUCGGUGUCGACACAUGGAUCAACCCCUCCGUUGUUUUUUUUUUCUCGAAUCAUUUUCAAUUGGCCGUGCUUUAA
This is a non-coding RNA of Caenorhabditis elegans, 146 nucleotides long. NCBI's taxonomy places the organism in Eukaryota, Metazoa, Nematoda, Chromadorea, Rhabditida, Rhabditidae. The record is from Ensembl.